This 434-nucleotide ribosomal RNA is filed under the name uncultured Lachnospiraceae bacterium. Its description in RNAcentral is "partial 16S ribosomal RNA". It matches the Rfam family "Bacterial small subunit ribosomal RNA", at positions 341 to 792 of the family's 1533-position model. The record is from RNAcentral. Lineage: Bacteria; Bacillati; Bacillota; Clostridia; Lachnospirales; Lachnospiraceae.
AUGGGAGGCAGCAGUGGGGAAUAUUGCACAAUGGGGGAAACCCUGAUGCAGCGGCGCCGCGUGAGUGAAGAAGUAUUUCGGUAUGUAAAGCUCUAUCAGCAGGAAAGAAAAUGACGGUACCUGACUAAGAAGCCCCGGCUAACUACGUGCCAGCAGCCGCGGUAAUACGUAGGGGGCAAGCGUUAUCCGGAUUUACUGGGUGUAAAGGGAGCGUAGACGGCUUUGCAAGUCUGAAGUGAAAGCCCGGGGCUCAACCCCGGAACUGCUUUGGAAACUGUAGAGCUGGAGUGCAGGAGAGGUAAGUGGAAUUCCUAGUGUAGCGGUGAAAUGCGUAGAUAUUAGGAGGAACACCAGUGGCGAAGGCGGCUUACUGGACUGUAACUGACGUUGAGGCUCGAAGGCGUGGGGAGCAAACAGGAUUAGAUACCCUGGUA